RNAcentral lists this ribosomal RNA (427 nucleotides) under uncultured bacterium. RNAcentral's name for it is "bacterial SSU rRNA". It matches the Rfam family "Bacterial small subunit ribosomal RNA", at positions 355 to 775 of the family's 1533-position model. The record is from RNAcentral.
UCGAGAAUUUUUCUCAAUGGGCGCAAGCCUGAAGGAGCGACGCCGCGUGGAGGAUGAAGGUCUUCGGAUUGUAAACUCCUGUCAUUGGUGAACAAAGCUUACGGUUUACUGCCGUGGAGCCUGCUAGUAGCCAAAGAGGAAGAGACGGCUAACUCUGUGCCAGCAGCCGCGGUAAUACAGAGGUCUCAAGCGUUGUUCGGAAUUAUUGGGCGUAAAGGGUGCGUAGGCGGCAGGAUAAGUUAGAUGUGAAAUGUCGACGCUUAACGUCGAACCUGCAUUUAAGACUGUCUUGCUUGAGCGCUAGAGAGGAGUCUGGAAUUUACGGUGUAGCAGUGAAAUGCGUAGAUAUCGUAAGGAAGGCCAGUGGCGAAAGCGAGACUCUGGCUAGAUGCUGACGCUGAGGCACGAAAGCUGGGGGAGCAAACGG